GACGAACGCUGGCGGCGUGCUUAACACAUGCAAGUCGAACGGAAAGGCCCUGCUUUUGUGGGGUGCUCGAGUGGCGAACGGGUGAGUAACACGUGAGUAACCUGCCCUUGACUUUGGGAUAACUUCAGGAAACUGGGGCUAAUACCGGAUAGGAGCUCCUGCUGCAUGGUGGGGGUUGGAAAGUUUCGGCGGGUGGGGAUGGACUCGCGGCUUAUCAGCUUGUUGGUGGGGUAGUGGCUUACCAAGGCUUUGACGGGUAGCCGGCCUGAGAGGGUGACCGGCCACCUUGGGACUGCGAUACGGCCCAGACUCCUACGGGAGGCAGCAGUGGGGAAUAUUGCACAAUGGGCGGAAGCCUGAUGCAGCAACGCCGCGUGCGGGAUGACGGCCUUCGGGUUGUAAACCGCUUUCGCCUGUGACGAAGCGUGAGUGACGGUAAUGGGUAAAGAAGCACCGGCUAACUACGUG
Molecule: ribosomal RNA, 468 nt
Filed under: uncultured bacterium
Lineage: Bacteria
Description: partial 16S ribosomal RNA
Rfam family: Bacterial small subunit ribosomal RNA
Source: RNAcentral